GAUGAACGCUAGCGGCAGGCCUAAUACAUGCAAGUCGGACGGGAUUGGAGAGCUUGCUUUCCAUGAGAGUGGCGCACGGGUGCGUAACACGUAUGCAACCUACCUUUACCAGGGGGAUAGCCUCUCGAAAGAGGGAUUAACACCGCAUAAAAUUAGUUUAUGGCAUCAUAAAUUGAUCAAAUAUUUAUAGGGUAAAGAUGGGCAUGCGGAACAUUAGCUAGUUGGUAAGGUAACGGCUUACCAAGGCGACGAUGUUUAGGGGAUCUGAGAGGAUGACCCCCCACACUGGUAAUGAGACACGGACCAGACUCCUACGGGAGGCAGCAGUAAGGAAUAUUGGUCAAUGGGCGCAAGCCUGAUCCAGCCAUGCCGCGUGCAGGAAGACGGCCCUACGGGUUGUAAACUGCUUUUGUACGGGAAUAAACCCUGAUACGUGUAUCAGGCUGAAUGUACCGUAAGAAUAAGGAUCGGCUAACUCCGUGCCAGCCGCCGCAGUAA
Molecule: ribosomal RNA, 498 nt
Filed under: uncultured bacterium
Lineage: Bacteria
Description: partial 16S ribosomal RNA
Rfam family: Bacterial small subunit ribosomal RNA
Source: RNAcentral